Molecule: transfer-messenger RNA, 367 nt
Filed under: human gut metagenome
Rfam family: transfer-messenger RNA
About the family: Bacterial tmRNA, also known as 10Sa RNA or SsrA, is named for its dual tRNA and mRNA-like properties. Its role is to liberate the mRNA from a stalled ribosome.
Source: RNAcentral
GGGGGCGUAAAGGUUUCGACGGGGAUCUUGCAGUAUGGUAAGCGAGCAGAGGCCGGGCAAACUCUCAAACAGGCCCAACAAAAAAUAAACGCUAAUAAUCAAAAAGUAGCACUGGCAGCCUAAGGGCUGUGCUGUGGCUGUAUGCCACCCGUUUCCCCCGGAGGACCGCGGCCGGGUGUGAAACGUCAAAAAGCGGUGAACGUGAACCUCCCGUUUGCUUUUGAAGAGGUCAUGACCAAAAAAGCUACCCGACAUAGCCGUUUGCCGAUGGGCGACCGUGCCGGGGAAUUCUAACCAUCGGCUGCGCUCGGAGAAAACCAUAUGAACAGGUUUUCGGACAGGGGUUCGACUCCCCUCGCCUCCACCA